RNAcentral lists this ribosomal RNA (253 nucleotides) under uncultured bacterium. Its description in RNAcentral is "partial 16S ribosomal RNA". It matches the Rfam family "Bacterial small subunit ribosomal RNA", at positions 524 to 776 of the family's 1533-position model. The record is from RNAcentral.
UACAGAGGUCCCAAGCGUUGUUCGGAUUCACUGGGUUUAAAGGGUGCGUAGGUGGGCAGUUAAGUCAGUGGUGAAAUCUCCGGGCUCAACCCGGAAACUGCCAUUGAUACUAUCUAUCUUGAAUAUCGUGGAGGUAAGCGGAAUAUGUCAUGUAGCGGUGAAAUGCUUAGAUAUGACAUAGAACACCAAUUGCGAAGGCAGCUUACUACCCGAAUAUUGACACUGAGGCACGAAAGCGUGGGGAUCAAACAGG